RNAcentral lists this transfer RNA (74 nucleotides) under Thermoflexibacter ruber. RNAcentral's name for it is "Flexibacter ruber tRNA". It matches the Rfam family "tRNA". From Rfam's summary of the family: Transfer RNA (tRNA) molecules are approximately 80 nucleotides in length. Their secondary structure includes four short double-helical elements and three loops (D, anti-codon, and T loops). RNAcentral also lists the same sequence under 2 other names. The record is from Rfam by way of RNAcentral. Lineage: Bacteria; Pseudomonadati; Bacteroidota; Cytophagia; Cytophagales; Thermoflexibacteraceae.
GUUCUCGUAGCUCAGCUGGAUAGAGCAACUGCCUUCUAAGCAGUAGGUCGCAGGUUCGAAUCCUGCCGGGAACA